This 635-nucleotide ribosomal RNA is filed under the name uncultured Flavobacteriia bacterium. RNAcentral's name for it is "bacterial SSU rRNA". It matches the Rfam family "Bacterial small subunit ribosomal RNA", at positions 35 to 663 of the family's 1533-position model. The record is from RNAcentral. Lineage: Bacteria; Pseudomonadati; Bacteroidota; Flavobacteriia.
GCUAGCGGCAGGCCUAACACAUGCAAGUCGGACGGUAACAUGGAUUGCUUGCAAUCUGAUGACGAGUGGCGCACGGGUGCGUAACGCGUAUACAAUCUACCUUUAGCUGAGGGAUAGCCCGAAGAAAUUUGGAUUAACCCCUCAUAGUAUCUUAUUAAGGCAUCUUGAUAAGAUUAAAGGAUUACGGCAAAAGAUGAGUAUGCGUUCUAUUAGCUAGUAGGUGUGGUAACGGCACACCUAGGCUACGAUAGAUAGGGGCCCUGAGAGGGGGAUCCCCCACACUGGUACUGAGACACGGACCAGACUCCUACGGGAGGCAGCAGUGAGGAAUAUUGGUCAAUGGGCGCAAGCCUGAACCAGCCAUGCCGCGUGCAGGAAGACUGCCCUAUGGGUUGUAAACUGCUUUUAUACGGGAAGAAACCCUCCUACGAGUUAGGAGCUUGACGGUACCGUAAGAAUAAGGAUCGGCUAACUCCGUGCCAGCAGCCGCGGUAAUACGGAGGAUCCAAGCGUUAUCCGGAAUCAUUGGGUUUAAAGGGUCCGUAGGUGGAUUAAUAAGUCAGAGGUGAAAUCCUGCAGCUUAACUGUAGAACUGCCUUUGAUACUGUUAAUCUUGAGUCAUUAUGAAGUGGUUA